This is a long non-coding RNA of Osmerus eperlanus (European smelt), 418 nucleotides long. RefSeq lists it as uncharacterized. The record is from RefSeq and is a predicted model, not a curated record. Lineage: Eukaryota; Metazoa; Chordata; Actinopteri; Osmeriformes; Osmeridae. The transcript is spliced from 2 exons.
CAAUUCUCCUCAGAGCUCGAGUUCAGGUGGAGUUGGCAGGUGUGAUCUCACAUUCACAGUGUUGCGUAAAUCAGGUGUGACCGUCACAUUCGCACGCUCACCUCGCCUUCCUGGAGUUCUGAAGGGAGAAAUAUACUUACAUUCCUGACCAUUCCACCAAUGGGCUUCUCAGUAACAAGAACAGCUGGAGAUCAUCAGUCCAGGAUCCCGCCCCUACCAUGGAGACAGACAGACAGACAGGGGGGUGGGAGGCAAAACUGCCCCCAGCCGGGGCAACACGGCUUCCAGAUACAGCUGUCUGGGCUGCCCACAUCCCCCCACCCAUUCAGUUCAAAGGCUGAAUGUGGAAAACAGCUCUUUCAAAGAAAACAGGGGGAAAACUUGAAAGCUGAUUGUGUCGGGUGAUGGGAAUUCCUGA